GUAUUGUUUACCUUCAUUUUCUACUUAUUCUUCAUGUUUUGAAGUUGACAAAUGG
This 55-nucleotide small RNA is filed under the name Arabidopsis thaliana (thale cress). RNAcentral's name for it is "ATSL156560". The record is from RNAcentral. Lineage: Eukaryota; Viridiplantae; Streptophyta; Magnoliopsida; Brassicales; Brassicaceae.